Long non-coding RNA from Salvelinus fontinalis (brook trout), 3030 nucleotides. RefSeq lists it as uncharacterized. The transcript has 6 exons. Lineage: Eukaryota; Metazoa; Chordata; Actinopteri; Salmoniformes; Salmonidae. The record is from RefSeq and is a predicted model, not a curated record.
GUUAUUUACCCAGUCAGAUAUAGAGGAGUUAUUUACCCAGUCAGAUAUAGAGGAGUUAUUUACCCAGUCAGAUAUAGAGGAGUUAUUUACCCAGUCAGAUAUAGAGGGGUUAUUUACCCAGUCAGAUAUAGAGGAGUUAUUUACCCAGUCAGAUAUAGAGGAGUUAUUUACCCAGUCAGAUAUAGAGGGGUUAUUUACCCAGUCAGAUAUAGAGGAGUUAUUUACCCAGUCAGAUAUAGAGGGGUUAUUUACCCAGUCAGAUAUAGUUAUUUACCCAGUCAGAUAUAGAGGAGUUAUUUACCCAGUCAGAUAUAGAGGGGUUAUUUACCCAGUCAGAUAUAGAGGGGUUAUUUACCCAGUCAGAUAUAGAGGGGUUAUUUACCCAGUCAGAUAUAGAGGAGUUAUUUACCCAGUCAGAUAUAGAGGAGUUAUUUACCCAGUCAGAUAUAGAGGAGUUAUUUACCCAGUCAGAUAUAGUUAUUUACCCAGUCAGAUAUAGAGGAGUUAUUUACCCAGUCAGAUAUAGAGGAGUUAUUUACCCAGUCAGAUAUAGAGGAGUUAUUUACCCAGUCAGAUAUAGAGGAGUUAUUUACCCAGUCAGAUAUAGAGGAGUUAUUUACCCAGUCAGAUAUAGAGGAGUUAUUUACCCAGUCAGAUAUAGAGGGGUUAUUUACCCAGUCAGAUAUAGAGGAGUUAUUUACCCAGUCAGAUAUAGAGGAGUUAUUUACCCAGUCAGAUAUAGAGGAGUUAUUUACCCAGUCAGAUAUAGAGGAGGUUAUUUAACCAGUCAGAUAUAGAGGGGUUAUUUACCCAGUCAGAUAUAGAGGAGGUUAUUUACCCAGUCAGAUAUAGAGGAGUUAUUUACCCAGUCAGAUAUAGAGGAGUUAUUUAUCCAGUCAGAUAUAGAGGAGUUAUUUACCCAGUCAGAUAUAGAGGGGUUAUUUACCCAGUCAGAUAUAGAGGAGUUAUUUACCCAGUCAGAUAUAGAGGGGUUAUUUACCCAGUCAGAUAUAGAGGGGUUAUUUACCCAGUCAGAUAUAGAGGGGCUAUUUACCCAGUCAGAUAUAGAGGAGGUUAUUUACCCAGUCAGAUAUAGAGGAGUUAUUUACCCAGUCUGAUAUAGAGGAGUUAUUUACCCAGUCAGAUAUAGAGGAGUUAUUUACCCAGUCAGAUAUAGAGGGGUUAUUUACCCAGUCAGAUAUAGAGGAGUUAUUUACCCAGUCAGAUAUAGAGGGGUUAUUUACCCAGUCAGAUAUAGAGGGGUUAUUUACCCAGUCAGAUAUAGUUAUUUACCCAGUCAGAUAUAGAGGAGUUAUUUACCCAGUCAGAUAUAGAGGGGUUAUUUACCCAGUCAGAUAUAGAGGAGUUAUUUACCCAGUCAGAUAUAGAGGGGUUAUUUACCCAGUCAGAUAUAGAGGAGUUAUUUACCCAGUCAGAUAUAGAGGAGUUAUUUACCCAGUCAGAUAUAGAGGAGUUAUUUACCCAGUCAGAUAGAGAGGAGUUAUUUACCCAGUCAGAUAUAGAGGAGUUAUUUACCCAGUCAGAUAUAGUUAUUUACCCAGUCAGAUAUAGAGGAGUUAUUUACCCAGUCAGAUAUAGAGGAGUUAUUUAACCAGUCAGAUAUAGAGGAGUUAUUUACCCAGUCAGAUAUAGAGGAGUUAUUUACCCAGUCAGAUAUAGAGGGGUUAUUUACCCAGUCAGAUAUAGAGGGGUUAUUUACCCAGUCAGAUAUAGAGGAGUUAUUUACCCAGUCAGAUAUAGAGGAGUUAUUUACCCAGUCAGAUAUAGAGGAGUUAUUUACCCAGUCAGAUAUAGAGGAGUUAUUUACCCAGUCAGAUAUAGUUAUUUACCCAGUCAGAUAUAGUUAUUUACCCAGUCAGAUAUAGAGGAGGUUAUUUACCCAGUCAGAUAUAGAGUUAUUUACCCAGUCAGAUAUAGAGGAGGUUAUUUACCCAGUCAGAUAUAGUGGAGUUAUUUACCCAGUCAGAUGUAGAGGAGUUAUUUACCCAGUCAGAUAUAGAGGAGUUAUUUACCCAGUCAGAUAUAGUUAUUUACCCAGUCAGAUAUAGUUAUUUACCCAGUCAGAUAUAGUUAUUUACCCAGUCAGAUAUAGAGGAGGUUAUUUACCCAGUCAGAUAUAGAGGUGUUAUUUACCCAGUCAGAUAUAGAGGAGUUAUUUACCCAGUCAGAUAUAGUUAUUUACCCAGUCAGAUAUAGAGGAGUUAUUUACCCAGUCAGAUAUAGAGGAGUUAUUUACCCAGUCAGAUAUAGAGGAGUUAUUUACCCAGUCAGAUAUAGAGGAGUUAUUUACCCAGUCAGAUAUAGAGGAGUUAUUUACCCAGUCAGAUAUAGAGGAGUUAUUUACCCAGUCAGAUAUAGAGGAGUUAUUUACCCAGUCAGAUAUAGAGGAGUUAUUUACCCAGUCAGAUAUAGAGGGGUUAUUUACCCAGUCAGAUAUAGAGGGGUUAUUUACCCAGUCAGAUAUAGAGGAGUUAUUUACCCAGUCAGAUAUAGAGGAGUUAUUUACCCAGUCAGAUAUAGAGGAGUUAUUUACCCAGUCAGAUAUAGAGGGGUUAUUUACCCAGUCAGAUAUAGAGGAGUUAUUUACCCAGUCAGAUAUAGAGGAGUUAUUUACCCAGUCAGAUAUAGUUAUUUACCCAGUCAGAUAUAGAGGGGUUAUUUACCCAGUCAGAUAUAGUUAUUUACCCAGUCAGAUAUAGAGGGGUUAUUUACCCAGUCAGAUAUAGUUAUUUACCCAGUCAGAUAUAGAGGGGUUAUUUACCCAGUCAGAUAUAGAGGAGUUAUUUACCCAGUCAGAUAUAGAGGAGUUAUUUACCCAGUCAGAUAUAGUUAUUUGCCCAGUCAGAUAUAGAGGGGUUAUUUACCCAGUCAGAUAUAGUUAUUUACCCAGUCAGAUAUAGAGGGGUUAUUUACCCAGUCAGAUAUAGAGGAGUUAUUUACCCAGUCAGAUAUAGUUAUUUACCCAGUCAGAUAUAGAGGAGGUUAUUUACCCAGUCAGAUAUAGAGGAG